Molecule: non-coding RNA, 1405 nt
Organism: Sus scrofa (pig)
Lineage: Eukaryota; Metazoa; Chordata; Mammalia; Artiodactyla; Suidae
Source: RefSeq, a predicted model, not a curated record
GGGGGCGGCCAUAUUGGAAGAGGGCGGAAGCGUCCUCAGCCCGCCCACCCUGAGCAGCGCGCAGAGCUUGGAGGUAUGGAGUUCAGUGGCAUUAAUACAUAAUAACAUUGUUGUGCAAUCAUCAUCAUCAUUCAUCUGUGGAAAUUUUUCACCUUCUCAAACUGAAACCCUGUACCCAUUAACCCAUAUCUCCCCAUGCCCCUUCCCCCAGCCCCUGAACCACCAUCUUACUGUCUCUGUGUGCUUUAUUAAAUAGCUGAUAGAGGUGGAAUCAAACAAUAUUUGUCCCUUUGUGUCUAGCUUAUUCAAUCAGAGUUUUACUUGUUUGCUUACUUGUAAUGGUCUGUCUCACUGGCUAAAGACCAAAUGCAGUGAGUAAGGAGUGUCCUGUUCCAGUUGACCAGCAAAUUCCAAUGCCCAGUCAGUGCCUGUCAGGCAGUAGGCAUUCAAUAACAAUUUCUUGAAUGAAUGAAUGAAUGAAUGAACAAAUGAAUGAAUGAAAAAUAAACUGCUCAGAUAUUAAAUACUUAAAUACUUAAGCGAAUUAUAGCAAAUGUCAAUAACAGCUUUAGCCACUUAGGAUAAACAUUAUCCUGGUGAUGCAACAUUACGUGAACUGGUAAUAAUCGUGAUACUUAAAGACUGUUUUGCAUGAACAGGUCCUGGAAGAACAGAGAGACAAAUGAGAACAGCAGUGGUGCUGGAGACAUGCGCUCUUGGUUGAAAUUUUUCUCUCAGUUUUGGCAAACUCUUUCAACCUGGAGGCUCUUCCUACCCUUGGACCCAGUAACCCAUCUCAUUUCUGGAGGUUUCUGCUAAGAAUCAGAAAGUCAGACUAAGAUUUCCGUGGUAAUCUGAUAUCAGUGAGAAUUCUCACUGUCCCAGGGGCUGUACUAAUUUUGCAUAUGUUGUGUCAUUUAAUGUUUACCACAGCUGUGGGGUAAGUCCUCUUUUUCCCACAUUUUACAGAUGGGGAAGGAAAUUGCUACUCAGAGAAAAGAAAUCACUUACCCAAAGACAGCAUUCAAACUCAGGGUGGUCUGACACUAGCACCCCUCUCCCAACACCCACACUAACCCCUACACCAUGCCUUUGUUCACAAAAAUAAGCCACGUGUAUUUAAACAUGGUCCAUAUCCAUGUAUAUGUAUGUAUAACUAAAAAGAUAUAUGCACUAAGCCUCAGCUUAUGUGGAUUACAAGAAAAUUACAUGCAGAGAAAAAACACUGGAUUCAAAUAUACCAGACUAUUAAUAGUGGAUGCUCUGGGUGAUGGAGUUGAGGGUGGCAACUUUCCUCCUUAUUCUUUUCUAUGUUUUCCCAGUUUUCUACGAUGACUGUGCAUUGUUUUCAUAACUGGAAAACACAAUUUUCUAAUAAAAAUGUGUCUUGAUUGCUGUUCUAUAA